AACUGACGUAAUUGCCCAUGGUGCCCUGCACCGAAACAUUUGAAUGUGCAUUUUGCAAAGCAUUAUAUUCAAAUUAUGAAGUAGAGACUGAUAAAGUUUAUUUAAUGAUGUAGCCCGGACUGCACAGCACUGAAUGAGGGGAUGAUAGUGAACAAUGAAUUGGAAAGGAUGUGGAAGGAAGCAGUCAUGGCCUAAUUUAAGGUACUACCUGGCAAUUUCCUGGAGGGACUGAGGAAAACCAUGAAAUAACUCAUUCAGUAUAGCUGGUCUCUGAGCCGAGAUUUGAACCCGGGACUUCCCAAAUAUGAAGUAGGUCAACCACGACAUUUGGUGAUUUUGAUGCGAAGUAAUGUUCAACAACGAACACAUUCUACUCAUGAAUACACCAUGUUCAUACCUGCACAAUUUUUGUGCCACUGGCAUGAACAGCGGCCUACCACCCAGGGUAACCAUGACUCCAUUGUCAUGGGGGGGUUGUCUCGUUUAGGUCGGAUAAUCAGGACUCUACUGUAUAUCACCAAAGAAAUAUUUACUUUAUUUUCUUAGUAAAAACACAAGAGAAUCCCCCCCCCACACUAAAACAACAGUAAUCAUGGCAUAUUUAUUACUUUAAAAAUAUACAAAAGUACUGCUUAUUUGAACAAGGACUUGUAAUAUAUAUAAAAUAUUCAACUUUCAGAAUGCUGCAAAAUACACACAGCAGCAAACACUACAAUUGAACUUACAAAAACAUAUCUGUAGGAUCCAUCAACAUGGAAGACAUGCAUCAUUACUGGUUCUCUUAUGUACAAUCUUGAAAAGUUUGUCUUAUGUAAAUUUUCAUAAAAAACUAAAUGGCAUCUCA
Molecule: long non-coding RNA, 844 nt
Organism: Zootermopsis nevadensis
Lineage: Eukaryota; Metazoa; Arthropoda; Insecta; Blattodea; Termopsidae
Source: RefSeq, a predicted model, not a curated record